GGACCAUCAUGUCGGUCGUGCCUCGGUACGUACUGGUAUUGUUGGUUUCUCCCUUCUGACGAACCAUGAUGUCAUUUAUUUGGUGCUGUGGGGAAUCAGGACUGUUACUUUGAAAAAAUUAGAGUGUUUAAAGCAGGCUCACGCUUGAAUACAUUAGCAUGGAAUAAUGAAAUAGGACGUUCGAACCUAUUUUGUUGGCCUUCGGGAUCGGAGUA
This 215-nucleotide ribosomal RNA is filed under the name Campeiostachys nutans. RNAcentral describes it as "Elymus nutans partial small subunit ribosomal RNA". The stretch from base 37 to 215 matches the Rfam family "Eukaryotic small subunit ribosomal RNA", at positions 684 to 864 of the family's 1831-position model. Lineage: Eukaryota; Viridiplantae; Streptophyta; Magnoliopsida; Poales; Poaceae. The record is from RNAcentral.